RNAcentral lists this ribosomal RNA (526 nucleotides) under uncultured eukaryote. Its description in RNAcentral is "SSU rRNA". It matches the Rfam family "Eukaryotic small subunit ribosomal RNA", at positions 76 to 604 of the family's 1831-position model. The record is from RNAcentral.
AUACAGCGAAACUGCGAAUGGCUCAUUAUAUAAGUUCCUCUUUUAUUUGAUAGUGCCUUACUACUUGGAUAACCGUGGUAAUUCUAGAGCUAAUACAUGCUAAAAACCCCGACUUCGGAAGGGGUGUAUUUAUUAGAUACAAAACCAAUGCCCUUCGGGGCUCUUUGGUGAUUCAUGAUAACUAUACGAAUCGCACGGCCUUGCGCCGGCGAUGGUUCAUUCAAAUUUCUUCCCUAUCAACUUUCGAUGUUUGGGUAUUGGCCAAACAUGGUUGCAACGGGUAACGGAGGGUUAGGGCUCGACCCCGGAGAAGGAGCCUGAGAAACGGCUACUACAUCCAAGGAAGGCAGCAGGCGCGCAAAUUACCCAAUCCCGACUCGGGGAGGUAGUGACAAUAAAUACUGAUACAGGGCCCUUUCGGGCCUUGUAAUUGGAAUGAGUACAAUUUAAACCCCUUAACGAGGAACAAUUGGAGGGCAAGUCUGGUGCCAGCAGCCGCGGUAAUUCCAGCUCCAAUAGCGUAUAU